Molecule: unclassified non-coding RNA, 341 nt
Filed under: Hevea brasiliensis (rubber tree)
Lineage: Eukaryota; Viridiplantae; Streptophyta; Magnoliopsida; Malpighiales; Euphorbiaceae
Source: RNAcentral
GCUCGAGAACAUGCAUUCAAUGCCUAAAAUGUAAACCAACACAGGAUUUUGGCUUCAUUGAAUUACUUAAAUGUGCAUAACGAAUGAAAACACUUUGGAAGUUUGGAUAAUGCACAGAUACAAGACAAUUUUACGAUGGUAUCACUUUUUAUCAACUUCUCAUUUGUUAGAACUAUACUAGUUUUUUUUAUUUUGCGACAUUGAAGAACAGUGCAUUAGUCCAUUACAAGAAGGCAGGCCACAGUAGACCACUUUUUCAUAUGCUAAAUAGCACUCGAUAUCAUUACCCAAGACCAGGAACAGAUAAGAGUUACUAACCAAGCCACCACCUUCAUCAUCAU